GUAUUAUUUGUGUCUUUUUUUUCUUUUCUUCUUCUUUUUCUUUUUCUUUCGGCGUUGGAUGCUUUUAUCUUCAUCUCUUUUCUGCUUCAACGGUCAAAAGAUGGGCGAUAAUCAGAGACAACCUCAGUAUCGACGAUCUCAGUUAAGCACAGGGAGAUGAUUGGUAUUGAUUAUCAGGAAGUGGAUUUGCUUAAGCAUGCGCCACCGGAAACAAAAAUCUUUCUAGUUUCUUAGAAGAAUGGAAGAGCAAAAUAUCUCAUCACCAAACUGCGGACUGAGUUGAUAAUCGGAUUAAGGGCACCAGUAAUGUGCUUGAAGAUGCAAC
Lycium ferocissimum is the source of this 325-nucleotide long non-coding RNA. RefSeq lists it as uncharacterized. Lineage: Eukaryota; Viridiplantae; Streptophyta; Magnoliopsida; Solanales; Solanaceae. The record is from RefSeq and is a predicted model, not a curated record. The transcript has 4 exons.